Astatotilapia calliptera (eastern happy) is the source of this 523-nucleotide long non-coding RNA. Lineage: Eukaryota; Metazoa; Chordata; Actinopteri; Cichliformes; Cichlidae. The record is from Ensembl.
UUCCAGUAAUGCUCUCCAAGCCUGCAGAUGAAAUUCAAAUCUUUGCAAAAAUUGAGGCAUAUUUUCACAUUUGUACCUGCGAUUUCCAUUGCAGAUUGCAGUUGCCUUGGCUAAUGUUUGGCACCUGGCUAAUCUGUUUAAAGAACAUCCCCUGUAACAAAUCAGCCAACUGGGGGGUCUCUUUAGGAAUACUGGAGACCUGGUUUGCAUGCUGUGUGCAGAAGACUAAUGCAGCUGCAGGGCCUGCGCAGUGGGAAGUGUUGCCAUGGUGAGCUGGGUUAUCGGGCCCUGAGAGAGACCAUCCACACAGUCCUCAUGACACAGCAGCUGACAGAGUGAGACGUCCACAGGGAUCAUGUCCACUGGGAACAGUGCUGUGGAGGCAGAGCCUAUGGAGAGCCACAGUGACAGUGUCCAAGAACAAUGUGUCUGCUAAAGUCAUCCAUGUGUGACAGGCUAAGGAAGAGGGAUCUUACGAGGUGUUUGUUUCUCUGAGGGCUGUCAAAGAAGGUAGGGUAGUGAG